AAUUGAGCUUCCAGAGUCUCCUGAGGGAUUCCGGGAUGACAGGGAACUCCCUUCGUGCUAGUCGGCAGCUCAAAGGCACACUGCAGGGAGCACAACACUUGUGUUUCUCACAAUGAGUCAAAUGGGUCUGCAGGAGCUCGUGGUGUGCCUGACCGGCCUGCUCAAGUCCGCUGCAUUCUGUCGGCUUCAGGACAUUCUCACUGCAUGGCAAAAGAUUCCAUAACCAUGUCCCUGAAGGAGCCAGCAACAAGGGCUGGUGCCUGUGCAGCUAACUACUCCCCC
This 282-nucleotide long non-coding RNA is filed under the name Fukomys damarensis (Damara mole-rat). RNAcentral describes it as "lncRNA (ENSFDAG00000031018.1)". Lineage: Eukaryota; Metazoa; Chordata; Mammalia; Rodentia; Bathyergidae. The record is from RNAcentral.